GCCAGACUCCUACGGGAGGCAGCAGUAGGGAAUCUUCGGCAAUGGGCGAAAGCCUGACCGAGCAACGCCGCGUGAAUGAAGAAGGCCUUCGGGUUGUAAAAUUCUGUUAUAAGGGAAGAAAGGUGAUAGGAGGAAAUGACUAUCAAUUGACGGUACCUUAUGAGAAAGCAACGGCUAACUACGUGCCAGCAGCCGCGGUAAUACGUAGGGGGCAAGCGUUAUCCGGAUUUACUGGGUGUAAAGGGAGCGUAGACGGCAGCGCAAGUCUGAAGUGAAAUGCCGGGGCUUAACCCCGGAACUGCUUUGGAAACUGAGCAGCUAGAGUGCAGGAGAGGUAAGUGGAAUUCCUAGUGUAGCGGUGAAAUGCGUAGAUAUUAGGAGGAACACCAGUGGCGAAGGCGGCUUACUGGACUGUAACUGACGUUGAGGCUCGAAAGCGUGGGGAGCAAACAGGAUUAGAUACCCCGGUAAAG
RNAcentral lists this ribosomal RNA (473 nucleotides) under uncultured bacterium. Its description in RNAcentral is "partial 16S ribosomal RNA". It matches the Rfam family "Bacterial small subunit ribosomal RNA", at positions 330 to 793 of the family's 1533-position model. The record is from RNAcentral.